AACGAACGCUGGCGGCAUGCCUAACACAUGCAAGUCGAACGAGACCUUCGGGUCUAGUGGCGCACGGGUGCGUAACGCGUGGGAACCUGCCCUUAGGUUCGGAAUAACUCCCCGAAAGGGGUGCUAAUACCGGCUAAUGUCUUCGGACCAACGAUUUAUCGCCUUUGGAUGGGCCCGCGUUGGAUUAGCUAGUUGGUAGGGUAAAAGCCUACCAAGGCGACGAUCCAUAGCUGGUCUGAGAGGAUGAUCAGCCACACUGGGACUGAGACACGGCCCAGACUCCUACGGGAGGCAGCAGUGGGGAAUAUUGGACAAUGGGCGAAAGCCUGAGCCAGCAAUGCCGCGUGAGUGAUGAAGGCCUUAGGGUUGUAAAGCUCUUUUACCCGGGAUGAUAAUGACAGUACCGGGAGAAUAAGCUCCGGCUAACUCCGUG
This 433-nucleotide ribosomal RNA is filed under the name uncultured bacterium. Its description in RNAcentral is "partial 16S ribosomal RNA". It matches the Rfam family "Bacterial small subunit ribosomal RNA", at positions 29 to 507 of the family's 1533-position model. The record is from RNAcentral.